This 26-nucleotide non-coding RNA is filed under the name Rattus norvegicus (Norway rat). The record is from RNAcentral. Lineage: Eukaryota; Metazoa; Chordata; Mammalia; Rodentia; Muridae.
AACAAGAGAGGAGCUGCCAACCAAGA